Molecule: ribosomal RNA, 466 nt
Filed under: uncultured bacterium
Lineage: Bacteria
Description: partial 16S ribosomal RNA
Rfam family: Bacterial small subunit ribosomal RNA
Source: RNAcentral
GACGAACGCUGGCGGUGUGCUUAACACAUGCAAGUCGAACGGUAAGGCCCUUUCGGGGGUACACGAGUGGCGAACGGGUGAGUAACACGUGAGUAACCUGCCCUCAUCUCUGGGAUAACAGUCGGAAACGGUUGCUAAUACUGGAUAUGAGCUUGCAAGGCAUCUUGUGGGUUGGAAAGAUUUUUUUGGUUGGGGAUGGACUCGCGGCCUAUCAGCUUGUUGGUGAGGUAGUGGCUCACCAAGGCUUCGACGGGUAGCCGGCCUGAGAGGGCGACCGGCCACAUUGGGACUGAGAUACGGCCCAAACUCCUACGGGAGGCAGCAGUGGGGAAUAUUGCACAAUGGACGGAAGUCUGAUGCAGCAACGCCGCGUGCGGGAUGACGGCCUUCGGGUUGUAAACCGCGUUCAAUUGUGACGAAGCUUUUUGUGACGGUAGCAGUAGAAGAAGCACCGGCUAACUACGUG